RNAcentral lists this unclassified non-coding RNA (314 nucleotides) under uncultured Thelephoraceae. RNAcentral's name for it is "sequence contains ITS2". The record is from RNAcentral. Lineage: Eukaryota; Fungi; Basidiomycota; Agaricomycetes; Thelephorales; Thelephoraceae.
AACGCACCUUGCGCCCUUUGGUUAUUCCGAAGGGCAUGCCUGUUUGAGUAUCAUGAACGCCUCAACUCUCACGGUUUCUCGUGAUGAGCUUGGACUUGGGAGUUUUGUUGGCCUGUGGUCAGCUCUCCUCAAAUGGAUUAGCUUGCCGGUGUUCGGCGGCAUCACAAGUGUGAUAACCAUCUACGCUCGUGAUUGUCUGCCGGGUAUCCUCUGAUCACACAGAGGUUCUCCGGGGCUCACAAAUGUCUCUCUUCAGCAGAGACAGCUUUUUGAAGUUCGAUCUCAAAUCAGGUAGGACUACCCGCUGAACUUAA